This 487-nucleotide ribosomal RNA is filed under the name uncultured bacterium. RNAcentral's name for it is "bacterial SSU rRNA". It matches the Rfam family "Bacterial small subunit ribosomal RNA", at positions 30 to 507 of the family's 1533-position model. The record is from RNAcentral.
AUUGAACGCUGGCGGCAUGCCUUACACAUGCAAGUCGAACGGCAGCACGGGUGCUUGCACCUGGUGGCGAGUGGCGAACGGGUGAGUAAUAUAUCGGAACGUACCUUAUCGUGGGGGAUAACGCAGCGAAAGCUGCGCUAAUACCGCAUACGCCCUGAGGGGGAAAGCGGGGGACCGUAAGGCCUCGCGCGAUUAGAGCGGCCGAUAUCUGAUUAGCUUGUUGGUGGGUAAAGCCCACCAAGGCGACGAUCAGUAGCUGGUCUGAGAGGACGAUCAGCCACACUGGGACUGAGACACGGCCCAGACUCCUACGGGAGGCAGCAGUGGGGAAUUUUGGACAAUGGGGGGCAACCCUGAUCCAGCAAUGCCGCGUGAGUGAAGAAGGCCUUCGGGUUGUAAAGGCUCUUUGUUCAGGGAAGAAAAGGACUUGUGCUAAUAUCACAAGCUGCUGACGGUACCUGAAGAAUAAGCACCGGCUAACUACGUG